This 486-nucleotide ribosomal RNA is filed under the name uncultured bacterium. Its description in RNAcentral is "partial 16S ribosomal RNA". It matches the Rfam family "Bacterial small subunit ribosomal RNA", at positions 30 to 507 of the family's 1533-position model. The record is from RNAcentral.
AUUGAACGCUGGCGGCAUGCCUUACACAUGCAAGUCGAACGGCAGCACGGGUGCUUGCACCUGGUGGCGAGUGGCGAACGGGUGAGUAAUACAUCGGAACAUGUCCUGUAGUGGGGGAUAGCCCGGCGAAAGCCGGAUUAAUACCGCAUACGAUCUACGGAUGAAAGCGGGGGACCUUCGGGCCUCGCGCUAUAGGGUUGGCCGAUGGCUGAUUGGCUAGUUGGUGGGGUAAAGGCCUACCAAGGCGACGAUCAGUAGCUGGUCUGAGAGGACGACCGGCCACACUGGGACUGAGACACGGCCCAGACUCCUACGGGAGGCAGCAGUGGGGAAUUUUGGACAAUGGGCGAAAGCCUGAUCCAGCAAUGCCGCGUGUGUGAAGAAGGCCUUCGGGUUGUAAAGCACUUUUGUCCGGAAAGAAAUCCUUGGCCCUAAUACGGUCGGGGGAUGACGGUACCGGAAGAAUAAGCACCGGCUAACUACGUG